UCCGUAGGUGAACCUGCGGAAGGAUCAUUAAAGAAUCGCCCCGUUUUUUGAAAUGGGUUCUAUUCCCAAACCGUGUAUACAUACCUUUGUUGCUUUGGCAGGCCGCCUUUUAGGCGUCGGCUCCGGCUGACUGCGCCUGCCAGAGGACCCAAACUCGUUUGUUUAGUGAUGUCUGAGUACUAUAUAAUAGUUAAAACUUUCAACAACGGAUCUCUUGGUUCUGGCAUCGAUGAAGAACGCAGCGAAAUGCGAUAAGUAAUGUGAAUUGCAGAAUUCAGUGAAUCAUCGAAUCUUUGAACGCACAUUGCGCCCCUUGGUAUUCCGAGGGGCAUGCCUGUUCGAGCGUCAUUAUAACCACUCAAGCCUCGGCUUGGUCUUGGGGUUCGCGGUCUCGCGUCCCUUAAAAUCAGUGGCGGUGCCGUCUGGCUCUAAGCGUAGUAAUUCUCUCGCUAUAGGGUCCCGGCGGUUGCCUGCCAGAACCCCCCAUUUUUUAGCGGUUGACCUCGGAUCAGGUAGGGAUACCCGCUGAACUUAAGCAUAUC
RNAcentral lists this ribosomal RNA (542 nucleotides) under uncultured Meliniomyces. Its description in RNAcentral is "eukaryotic LSU rRNA". The stretch from base 195 to 348 matches the Rfam family "5.8S ribosomal RNA". The record is from RNAcentral. Lineage: Eukaryota; Fungi; Ascomycota; Leotiomycetes; Helotiales; Helotiaceae.